UCCAGCAACUUCCUUGUCUUUUGAGUAUGCAGUUACUAUUUUUUUUACAAUAUGAGAGAAUUUCUACUUUCAGAAUUGCACUCGGUAAUUUGCAACUCGUUUUCAUCCUUUCUACUUCUACUUCUUUAUUCUUGUGCCUGGAGCGAUUAUGGUUUUAUAUCAAAAUGUUUAGUAUGGACAGUUAUUGUACAAAGCAUUUCAAAUGAGGUUCAACAUGGGAUGAAUAAGUCCACCGACAAAGUGCAUCGGAAUACUUUACAAAGAAGCAAAAUUUUUCUGGCAAACGUCUAUUUAUUUCUAAUGUUCGAAUGGAUUAUGUUUUACACUGAUAUCUUCCUCGUGACCGGAAUGACUCUACAGUUUGCAAUAUUUCAACUAAAAUUUCGAGAAGCAAUGGCUCUCCUGCUGCAUCAAUAUUUCGAAUUUACAAGUCUAGUGUGUAAAGGUAGAACGCUUGUCGCGCUUACACAGUUAAUAUUUUUAUGAGAUGAAUUUACCAAUGGUUCAUUAUAAAGAAUUAAAUUGUAAUACGUACAAG
Long non-coding RNA from Folsomia candida, 538 nucleotides. RefSeq lists it as uncharacterized. The transcript is spliced from 2 exons. NCBI's taxonomy places the organism in Eukaryota, Metazoa, Arthropoda, Collembola, Entomobryomorpha, Isotomidae. The record is from RefSeq and is a predicted model, not a curated record.